UCCACACCCUCCGCCGAUGCUGCAGCUCAACCAAGGAUACAGCACAGUGAAAGUGCCAACGUAAAUGUACCGGCGCAGACCCCGAAACCUGAAGCUCUACCAACGAUACAGCAGAGCGAAAGUGCCAACGUGAAUGUACCGGCGCAGACCCCGACACCUGAAGCUCUACCAACGAUACAGCAGAGUAAAAGUGCCAACGUGAAUGUACCGGCGCAGACCCAGACACCUGAAGCUAUACCAACGAUACAGCAGAGUGAAAGUGCCAACGUGAAUGUACCAGCGCAGACCCCGACACUUGCAGCUCUAUCACAGCGACAUCCAUCGAGCUUCCGGAAGAAGUCCCCCAUUCCUGCUGCUCGUAGCCGGCGCACUGCUUCGAAAGCGGAAGUGGAUAC
Molecule: long non-coding RNA, 395 nt
Filed under: Physcomitrium patens
Lineage: Eukaryota; Viridiplantae; Streptophyta; Bryopsida; Funariales; Funariaceae
Description: long non-coding RNA (PPAT_LNC013478)
Source: RNAcentral